RNAcentral lists this ribosomal RNA (301 nucleotides) under uncultured bacterium. RNAcentral describes it as "partial 16S ribosomal RNA". It matches the Rfam family "Bacterial small subunit ribosomal RNA", at positions 509 to 808 of the family's 1533-position model. The record is from RNAcentral.
CAGCCGCCGCGGGAAGACAGAGGAUGCAAGCGUUAUCCGGAAUGAUUGGGCGUAAAGCGUCUGUAGGUGGCUUUUCAAGUCCGCCGUCAAAUCCCAGGGCUCAACCCUGGACAGGCGGUGGAAACUACCAAGCAGGUGUACGGUAGGGGCAGAGGGAAUUUCCGGUGGAGCGGUGAAAUGCGUUGAGAUCGGAAAGAACACCAACGGUGAAAGCACUCUGCUGGGCCGACACUGACACUGAGAAGCGAAAGUUAGGGGAGAAAAUGGGAUUAGAUACCCGUGUAGUCCCUGUCUCUUAUAC